GCGGGAGUAGCUCAGAGGUAGAGCACCACCUUGCCAAGGUGGCUGCCGCGGGUUCGAAUCCCGUCUCCCGCUCCA
This 75-nucleotide transfer RNA is filed under the name Caldisericota bacterium. RNAcentral's name for it is "Caldiserica bacterium tRNA-Gly". It matches the Rfam family "tRNA". From Rfam's summary of the family: Transfer RNA (tRNA) molecules are approximately 80 nucleotides in length. Their secondary structure includes four short double-helical elements and three loops (D, anti-codon, and T loops). Further hydrogen bonds mediate the characteristic L-shaped molecular structure. tRNAs have two regions of fundamental functional importance: the anti-codon, which is responsible for specific mRNA codon recognition, and the 3' end, to which the tRNAs corresponding amino acid is attached (by aminoacyl-tRNA synthetases). tRNAs cope with the degeneracy of the genetic code in two manners: having more than one tRNA (with a specific anti-codon) for a particular amino acid; and 'wobble' base-pairing, i.e. permitting non-standard base-pairing at the 3rd anti-codon position. Lineage: Bacteria; Pseudomonadati; Caldisericota. The record is from RNAcentral. RNAcentral also lists the same sequence under 1 other name.